RNAcentral lists this long non-coding RNA (246 nucleotides) under Homo sapiens (human). Its description in RNAcentral is "non-protein coding CSE1L-AS1:13". Lineage: Eukaryota; Metazoa; Chordata; Mammalia; Primates; Hominidae. The record is from RNAcentral.
CUGAGGGUUCACCAAGUUGCUGAUGAGUCUCUAGAAAGUACAAGGAGAAUCCUGGGUUUAGCCAUUGAGUCUCAGGAUGCAGGAAUCAAGAUCAUCACAAUACUGGAUAAACAAGGGGAACAACUCAACCACAUAGAAGACAUGGGCCACAAAAAUACAGACAUGAGAGAGGCAGAGAAGACUUUAACAGAACUUAACAAAUGCCAUGCCCUUCGUGUCUGUCCACAUAAUAGAACAAAGAACUUU